UAGAAAACCUUGGAGAGAAUGAAGAUGUGGAGAGGGGAGGAGAGAGAGGAGCCCCACAGCAACGUGGAUCCAGUCUGCAGGCCCCGUCCCCAUCUUGAGACCGACCUGGACUGGCGUGAGGUCAUUGGAAGUCUUUUCUUAGCAUGGAAGGUGCUCCGGGAGUGUCGGGGGAUGUGCAGUCCCUGACACGUGCCAUGAUAACUUAUUUAGACUGAUUUCUUAGCACUGAACUCUCUUUUGCUUCUCUGUGGAUUCUCACACCCCCAGCCAAGACUAAUGUAGGAAAGAUCAACAAAAAAGAAAGUAUUAAAGUGACUCUAUCGGCUUCCCCUCGCCCUUUGGACUUUCUUGUCCAAGGCUCUUUCCUGAUUUGAUGUCCUCUGGGUGGAAGAGAAAGUUACGGUAAGAUCAUGGAUGGCAGCGGAUCCCAUUGGCUGUGGUUUUCUUUUCAGAGCUGGUUUUAGAGCCCUCUCUGGGGAUGAAGAACCCUCCCCAGCUGGAAGAUGAUGCACUUGAAGGCUCAGCAAGCAACACACAAGGGCGUCAAGUCACUGGCCGGAUUCGUGCCUCCCUUGUCCUGAUACUGAAGACCAUCAGAAGAAGACUCCCGUUCAGCAAGUGGAGACUGGCAUUCAGAUUCGCUGGCCCGCAUGCUGAGAGUGCAGAGGUAAUCACAUCUAUGGCUGAUAGCUGCACUCACUUCUUAUUUCUCUGUCUAUGGUGACAGCUCAUUCUCUCACUGCUUUUUCUCUCCCAUUUGUUCUCUCCAACAGCUG
This 776-nucleotide long non-coding RNA is filed under the name Homo sapiens (human). RNAcentral's name for it is "HSALNT0012098". Lineage: Eukaryota; Metazoa; Chordata; Mammalia; Primates; Hominidae. The record is from RNAcentral.